RNAcentral lists this ribosomal RNA (247 nucleotides) under uncultured bacterium. RNAcentral's name for it is "partial 16S ribosomal RNA". It matches the Rfam family "Bacterial small subunit ribosomal RNA", at positions 796 to 1041 of the family's 1533-position model. The record is from RNAcentral.
CACGCCCUAAACGAUGUCGACUGGAUGUUGGGUGCAAUUUGGCACUCAGUAUCGAAGCUAACGCGUUAAGUCGACCGCCUGGGGAGUACGCGCGCAAGCGUGAAACUCAAAGGAAUUGACGGGGGCCCGCACAAGCGGUGGAGUAUGUGGUUUAAUUCGAUGCAACGCGCAGAACCUUACCUGGUCUUGACAUGUCGAGAAUCCUUCAGAGAUGAGGGAGUGCCUUCGGGAACUCGAACACAGGUGC